RNAcentral lists this ribosomal RNA (775 nucleotides) under uncultured Neocallimastigales. Its description in RNAcentral is "partial large subunit ribosomal RNA". It matches the Rfam family "Eukaryotic large subunit ribosomal RNA", at positions 22 to 640 of the family's 3401-position model. The record is from RNAcentral. Lineage: Eukaryota; Fungi; Neocallimastigomycota; Neocallimastigomycetes; Neocallimastigales.
UGUACACGCUGUGACUAGCAUAUCAAUAAGCGGAGGAAAAGAAACUAACAAGGAUUCCCCUAGUAACGGCGAGUGAAGCGGGAAGAGCUCAAAUUUGAAAUCUUAAAGGGUUUCCCUUUACGAAUUGUAGUUUAAAGAAGUGUUUUCUGUUGAGGUUUUGGUAAAAGUUCUUUGGAAUAGGACAUCAUAGAGGGUGAGAAUCCCGUAUUUGACCUUUACUUUCAACUUUGUGAUACACUUUCAAAGAGUCGGAUUGUUUGGGAAUGCAGUCCAAAAUGGGUGGUAAAUUUCAUCUAAAGCUAAAUAUUGGCGAGAGACCGAUAGCGAACAAGUACCGUGAGGGAAAGAUGAAAAGAACUUUGAAAAGAGAGUUAAACAGUACGUGAAAUUGUCAAAAGGGAAGCGUUUGACACCAGUGUUGUUUUUCUGAAAAUCAAUUAAAGAACUGUUUAUGCUAAGCUGUUUAGACUUUAUCAGCUAUCUGUUUAGUUUUGAGCUUUUCUUUAAUGCACUUUUCAGUUAACAAGUCAACAUCAAUUUCUUUUGCUGUAAAAAAGCUUGAGGAAGGUGGCUUGAGAUUCGUCUUAAGUGUUUAUAGCCUCUUGCCUAUGCAGUCGGAGAGAUUGAGGUCUGCAGCGUAGAUCCUUCGGGGCUAAAUGCAUUUGUGCUAAGUUAUAGCAUUUUAUAGACAACUUGUUGACUAUGAUUUGUCUUGUAGCUUACUCGCUUAUGUUAUUUUACCUACGCUUAGGAUGUUGAUAUGCAUGACUGAUAU